RNAcentral lists this ribosomal RNA (251 nucleotides) under uncultured prokaryote. RNAcentral's name for it is "partial 16S rRNA". It matches the Rfam family "Bacterial small subunit ribosomal RNA", at positions 525 to 775 of the family's 1533-position model. The record is from RNAcentral.
ACGAACCGUCCAAACGUUAUUCGGAAUCACUGGGCUUAAAGGGUGCGUAGGCGGCCCGGUAAGUUGGGUGUGAAAUCCCUCGGCUCAACCGAGGAAUUGCGCCCAAAACUGUCGGGAUUGAGGGAGGUAGAGGUGAGCGGAACUUAGGGUGGAGCGGUGAGAUGCGUUGAUAUCCUAAGGACCACCGGUGGCGAAAGCGGCUCACUGGGUCUCGUCUGACGCUGAUGCACGAACUCUAGGGGAGCGAACGG